GCUAGUGUAGCUUAAACCUUAAAGCAUGGCACUGAAGAUGCUAAGAUAAAAAUUAAUCUUUUUCACAAGCA
RNAcentral lists this transfer RNA (71 nucleotides) under Telatrygon zugei (pale-edged stingray). RNAcentral's name for it is "tRNA-Phe". It matches the Rfam family "tRNA". From Rfam's summary of the family: Transfer RNA (tRNA) molecules are approximately 80 nucleotides in length. The record is from RNAcentral. Lineage: Eukaryota; Metazoa; Chordata; Chondrichthyes; Myliobatiformes; Dasyatidae.